Molecule: ribosomal RNA, 511 nt
Filed under: uncultured Actinomycetes bacterium
Lineage: Bacteria; Bacillati; Actinomycetota; Actinomycetes
Description: bacterial SSU rRNA
Rfam family: Bacterial small subunit ribosomal RNA
Source: RNAcentral
CGGCAAGCCUGAUGCAGCGACGCCGCGUGAGGGAUGACGGCCUUCGGGUUGUAAACCUCUUUCAGCACAGACGAAGCGCAAGUGACGGUAUGUGCAGAAGAAGGACCGGCCAACUACGUGCCAGCAGCCGCGGUAAUACGUAGGGUCCGAGCGUUGUCCGGAAUUACUGGGCGUAAAGAGCUCGUAGGUGGUUUGUCGCGUUGUUCGUGAAAACUCACAGCUUAACUGUGGGCGUGCGGGCGAUACGGGCAGACUUGAGUACUGCAGGGGAGACUGGAAUUCCUGGUGUAGCGGUGGAAUGCGCAGAUAUCAGGAGGAACACCGGUGGCGAAGGCGGGUCUCUGGGCAGUAACUGACGCUGAGGAGCGAAAGCGUGGGGAGCGAACAGGAUUAGAUACCCUGGUAGUCCACGCCGUAAACGGUGGGUACUAGGUGUGGGUUUCCUUCCUUGGGAUCCGUGCCGUAGCUAACGCAUUAAGUACCCCGCCUGGGGAGUACGGCCGCAAGGCUA